UACGAGGGGAGCAAGCGUUGUUCGGAUUUACUGGGCGUAAAGGGCGCGUAGGCGGCGUGACAAGUCACUUGUGAAAUCUCCGGGCUUAACCCGGAAAGGUCAAGUGAAACUGUCGUGCUAGAGUACAGAAGGGGCAACUGGAAUUCUCGGUGUAGCGGUGAAAUGCGUAGAUAUCGAGAGGAACACCUGCGGCGAAGGCGGGUUGCUGGGCUGAUACUGACGCUGAGGAGCGAAAGCCAGGGGAGCAAACGGG
This 253-nucleotide ribosomal RNA is filed under the name uncultured bacterium. Its description in RNAcentral is "partial 16S ribosomal RNA". It matches the Rfam family "Bacterial small subunit ribosomal RNA", at positions 524 to 776 of the family's 1533-position model. The record is from RNAcentral.